Molecule: unclassified non-coding RNA, 213 nt
Filed under: Hevea brasiliensis (rubber tree)
Lineage: Eukaryota; Viridiplantae; Streptophyta; Magnoliopsida; Malpighiales; Euphorbiaceae
Source: RNAcentral
AUACAGUUAAAAAAUUAAGCAUCUUCAUGUGCAAUUAAUUGGGACCCUCAUUAUUAUUUUUCUUUUAACAAUACAUAAUUUCAUUAGUAAACGCUGGGGCUUUUCUUUUUAAAUUAUUAUUCUAAAAAUUUUAUUUUCAGCCACGACCCAUGAGUUCUGAAAAAAUUAUAAUAUUAUUUAGUUACCCAUUUUUUUCUUCUAAUGAUGCAGGAA